This 410-nucleotide ribosomal RNA is filed under the name uncultured bacterium. RNAcentral's name for it is "bacterial SSU rRNA". It matches the Rfam family "Bacterial small subunit ribosomal RNA", at positions 521 to 896 of the family's 1533-position model. The record is from RNAcentral.
UAAUACGGGGGAGGCAAGCGUUGUCCGGAAUCACUGGGCGUAAAGGGUGUGUAGGUGUCCUGGUGGGUCAAGUGUGAAAUCCAACAGCUUAACUGUUGAAGUGCACAUGAAACUAUCGGGAUUGAGGACAUGAGGGGAGAGCGGAACUCGCGGUGUAGCGGUAGAAUGCGUGGAUAUCGCGAGGAAUGCCGAUGGCGAAGGCGGCUCUCUAGUAUGCCGAGAGAAGCGAAAAAACUUCGGGUUUUGAUUAAUCGGUCCUGACACUGAAACACGAAAGCUGGGGGAGCGAACGGGAUUAGAUACCCCGGUAGUCCCAGCCCUAAACGAUGUACACUUGGCAUGCGCUAUAUUUGUGCGUGCCGUAGGUAACCUGUUAAGUGUACCGCCUGGGGGGUACGCUCGCAAGGGUG